This 1126-nucleotide long non-coding RNA is filed under the name Durio zibethinus. RNAcentral's name for it is "long non-coding RNA (DZIB_LNC001350)". Lineage: Eukaryota; Viridiplantae; Streptophyta; Magnoliopsida; Malvales; Malvaceae. The record is from RNAcentral.
UCAUUCUUGUUAUUCCCAAUACUGAUACUAAAUUACAAAUUUGAAAUUUACAGUUAGACUACUAUAUAAGGGUAAAUUCGAAAUACCCAUAGCUUGAAAGGUUUAAAUUCACAACUUUAUAUCAUUAUAAAUAUUUAGUAAUUUAUAUAUAAUACGUGCAUUUUAUUUUCACAACUUAUAUAACAAAUCAAAUUAAAAUCUUUUGUCCCAAAUUCAAUUUAAAAAAACAAUUGACAUAUAGAAAGGUGUUCCAAAAAUAGCAUUUGUUCUGCUUUCUACACAAACAGAGGAACUCUUUCCCAGCCAAAUACCAAAACUUGUCACAAAUCGUAGGCAUCCAAAAUCCCACCCCCCAAAUACAAACAAAAAAGAAACUACAAGAGUAACUGCCAAAACAUAAGAAAUAGAUCUAAUAACCUUCCUCUAAUCAUCUUACCCUGUUCCUAAAAGAUCAUCUUCUUCGCUUCAAAACUGAUGGUUUGAUUCUGAUGUUUGCAGGGGAUGAGAGAAAUUUGUUCAUGUUUGCAUGAAAGGAAAGUGAACCGAAAGUUCCAACAGAGAAAACCUUAAACUGAAGAUCUUCCUUUGUGUUUGCAGUAUCAAAGCCAUUUAAUGAUAAGAAGAAAAAGGAUAAGAAAAAAGUGAAUCUACAAGCAGAGCUGACGGCAGAAAGGAACAUAAAUGCAAAUCAUAUAGACCAUAAACUGAACAUGAUCCAAAUCACUUUUUUUCCUCUUUGUGGUAGGCCAUAUUUACAGUUUAAGGUCUCCAGAGCUCCAUUUCUGCUGUCACCUUUGCUUGGACUGUUCCCAAUCGUUUCACUUUUCCUUCUCCUUUUUCUCCCUAUCAUUCAAUAGUUUUUUUACAGCAAACAGAGUUGAAAGCAGGGCAAAAUGAGAUUCAUCACAAAAGAAAUGAAAGAAACCAAAGCAAAAAAAGAUUGCCUAAAUGGAACUGCCUCAGCCUUUUUGGGGAACUUUCGGUUCAAUUUCCUUGCUUGCAGCCAUGAAUCAUCAAAAGAGAUAGAAACGCCAGCCUGUGUGUAAGAAAAAUGCGAGUUUCGCUUGUUCGGACACUUAGGGUUCUUAUAUUAGUUCCGUAGAUCAGGAGGACUGCAACAAGAAAG